This 466-nucleotide ribosomal RNA is filed under the name Gemella haemolysans. Its description in RNAcentral is "bacterial SSU rRNA". It matches the Rfam family "Bacterial small subunit ribosomal RNA", at positions 28 to 473 of the family's 1533-position model. The record is from RNAcentral. Lineage: Bacteria; Bacillati; Bacillota; Bacilli; Caryophanales; Gemellaceae.
GACGAACGCUGGCGGCGUGCCUAAUACAUGCAAGUCGAGCGAAGUUUUUCUGGUGCUUGCACUAGAAAAACUUAGCGGCGAACGGGUGAGUAACACGUAAAGAACCUGCCUCAUAGACUGGGACAACUAUUGGAAACGAUAGCUAAUACCGGAUAACAGCAUUAACUGCAUGGUUGAUGUUUAAAAGUUGGUUUUGCUAACACUAUGAGAUGGCUUCGCGGUGCAUUAGCUAGUUGGUGGGGUAAAGGCCUACCAAGGCGACGAUGCAUAGCCGACCUGAGAGGGUGAUCGGCCACACUGGGACUGAGACACGGCCCAGACUCCUACGGGAGGCAGCAGUAGGGAAUCUUCCGCAAUGGGCGAAAGCCUGACGGAGCAUACGCCGCGUGAGUGAAGAUAGGAUUUCGGUUCGUAAAUGCUCUGUUGUUAUGGGAAGAAUGAUUGUGUAGUAACUAUACACAGUAGA